This 377-nucleotide unclassified non-coding RNA is filed under the name uncultured bacterium. Its description in RNAcentral is "contains 16S-23S intergenic spacer region". The record is from RNAcentral.
UCCGGUUUGGCACCGGCGGUCUCCGAUGAGUCCCCGGCUUUACCCGCUGGCAACAUCGGACAGGGGUUGCGCUCGUUGCGCCACUUAAGGCAACACCUCACGGCACGAGCUGACGACAGCCAUGCAGCACCUGUACGGGCUCCCGAAGGAGGACCGGCUUUCACCGGCUUCACCCCGCAUGUCAAGCCCUGGUAAGGUUCUUCGCGUUGCGUCGAAUUAAACCACAUGCCCCACCGCUUGUGCGGGUCCCCGUCAAUUCCUUUGAGUUUUACCGUUGCCGGCGUACUCCCCAGGCGGAGAACUUAACGCGUUAGCUGCGACACAGGAGGGGUCGAUACCCCCUAUACCUAGCAUUCAUCGUUUAGGGCGUGGACUAC